Molecule: long non-coding RNA, 466 nt
Organism: Pseudopipra pipra
Lineage: Eukaryota; Metazoa; Chordata; Aves; Passeriformes; Pipridae
Exons: 3
Source: RefSeq, a predicted model, not a curated record
AGCUGUGGAAGAUUCAGGAGAAGCUGGAGUGCUACUUUGGGUCUCUGGUGGGGUCCAAUGUUUACAUCACUGCCCAGGGAUCCCAGGGCCUUCCUCCUCACUAUGAUGAUGUUGAGGUGUUUAUCCUUCAGCUGGAAGGCGAGAAACACUGGCGGCUCUAUAAACCAAGGGUGCCUUUAGCUCGGGAAUAUGAUGUGGAAUCAGAAGAUAGGAUUGGGAAUCCCACACGUGAGUUCAUAUUAAAGCCAGGUGACUUACUGUACUUCCCAAGAGGGACCAUCCACCAAGCUGACACUCCUCUUGGGACCUCCCAUUCCACACAUGUGACCAUCAGUACCUACCAAAACAAGUAAUUAUUCUUUAUCUUUUGUUUUGUGUGGCUUUCCUCUGCCAAGUGAUGUGUGUGAGUAGUACAGACCUGAGAUGUGGUGAAGUUUUGGGGCUUGGGGGAAGGAGGGGAGCAAGA